RNAcentral lists this ribosomal RNA (444 nucleotides) under uncultured bacterium. RNAcentral describes it as "bacterial SSU rRNA". It matches the Rfam family "Bacterial small subunit ribosomal RNA", at positions 335 to 796 of the family's 1533-position model. The record is from RNAcentral.
GGCCUACGGGAGGCUGCAGUAGGGAAUAUUGGUUAAUCUGGGAAACCGGGAACCAGCAACGCCGCGUGCGCGAUGAAGGCCUUCGGGUUGUAAAGCGCUUUUAGAGAGGAUGAGGAAGGACAGUACUCUCUGAAUAAGCCUCGGCUAACUACGUGCCAGCAGCCGCGGUAAAACGUAGGAGGCGAGCGUUAUCCGGAUUUACUGGGCGUAAAGCGCGUGUAGGCGGUUUGAUAAGUUGGAUGUGAAAGCUCCUGGCUUAACUGGGAGAGGUCGUUCAAAACUGUCAGACUUGAGAGUGGUAGAGGGAGGUGGAAUUCCGGGUGUAGUGGUGAAAUGCGUAGAUAUCCGGAGGAACACCAGUGGCGAAAGCGGCCUCCUGGACCAUUUCUGACGCUCAGACGCGAAAGCUAGGGUAGCAAACGGGAUUAGAUACCCUGGUAGUCG